UCGGGUGGUUGUGGCUUUUAGUGUGAUAGCAGGAGACACACAAGCCAUAAUCCUGGGGCAAAACAUAGGAGGUGCAGAACAAUACUUCCUCUUCAGCUCCGCCACUCAACGGGAGACCAGGCUGUCCCCCCUGAUGAGACCAGGUAAUGUUUCUGUGUCACCCCUCACAGCAGGGGCACCUGCAGGCCCCUCCCCUCCUGCCCAUGACCUGGCACCUACCUGGCAGUCCGUGCAGCGCCAGUGCCUGUCCGCUCGGUCCGUGCACUCACUGCAGGUGUAGACGCAGCAGCAGGUGGACCCGCAGGGAUGGGUGGAGUAAAGGGAACUGGAGGCGCCUGACCCUUCUGAGGGAGAGGAACUCAUCCUGGCCACGGAUCAGACCGCAGGGGAUGAGAG
Molecule: long non-coding RNA, 396 nt
Organism: Fukomys damarensis (Damara mole-rat)
Lineage: Eukaryota; Metazoa; Chordata; Mammalia; Rodentia; Bathyergidae
Exons: 2
Source: RefSeq, a predicted model, not a curated record